AAACAUUGCUUUAUGUUUAUCUAUAAGGUUAACCCUGCUCAAUGAUAUAUUAAAUAGCCGCAGUACCUUGACUGUGCAAAGGUAGCAUAAUCAUUUGGCUUAUAAUUGAAGUCUAGUAUGAAUGGGAAUAUGGGUAGUUACUGUCUUACCAUAAUUUAAUGAAUUUACUAAUUAAGUGAAAAUUCUUAUAAUAAUAUAAUAGACGAGAAGACCCUAGAAAUUUUAUAUAUUUAUGUGAUUACAUAAGCUAUUUUGUUGGGGCGACAAAACAACAAUAAACUUGUUUAUUAAAUAUUUGACGUUAUUGAGUAGAAUAAAUAAAUUACUCUAGGGAUAACAGCAUAAUACAAAAGAGUUUGUGACCUCGAUGUUGGACUAGGAAUAUUAUUGUUUAGAAGAUAAUAAUUAAGGCUCUGUUCGAGCUCAAUUUCCUACGUGAUC
Molecule: ribosomal RNA, 441 nt
Filed under: Pyrenaearia carascalopsis
Lineage: Eukaryota; Metazoa; Mollusca; Gastropoda; Stylommatophora; Hygromiidae
Description: partial 16S ribosomal RNA
Rfam family: Archaeal large subunit ribosomal RNA
Source: RNAcentral